This 826-nucleotide ribosomal RNA is filed under the name uncultured Actinomycetes bacterium. RNAcentral describes it as "bacterial SSU rRNA". It matches the Rfam family "Bacterial small subunit ribosomal RNA", at positions 64 to 865 of the family's 1533-position model. Lineage: Bacteria; Bacillati; Actinomycetota; Actinomycetes. The record is from RNAcentral.
GAACGCGAAAUUUCCCUUCGGGGAGAAAGUAGAGUGGCGCACGGGUGAGUAACACGUAGGUAAUCUACCUUUGGAUGGGGAAUAACGCAGAGAAAUCUGCGCUAAUACCGCAUAAUGCAGCGGCACCUAAUGGUGACAGUUGUUAAAGCGGGGGAUCGUAAGACCUCGCGUCUAAAGAGGAGCCUGCGGCGGAUUAGCUAGUUGGUAAGGUAAUGGCUUACCAAGGCUACGAUCCGUAACCGGCCUGAGAGGGCGGUCGGUCACACUGACACUGACAUACGGGUCAGACUCCUACGGGAGGCAGCAGUCGGGAAUUUUGGGCAAUGGGCGAAAGCCUGACCCAGCAACGCCGCGUGAAGGAUGAAAUCCCUCGGGAUGUAAACUUCGCAAGAACGGGAAGAAUAAGUAGGGGACAAUACCCCCUAUGAUGACGGUACCGUUUGUAAGCUCCGGCUAACUCCGUGCCAGCAGCCGCGGUAAUACGGGGGGAGCAAGCGUUGUUCGGAUUUACUGGGCGUAAAGGGCGCGUAGGCGGUCAGCACAAGUCAGUUGUGAAAUCUCCGAGCUUAACUCGGAAAGGUCAACUGAUACUGUGCGACUAGAGUGCAGAAGGGGCAACUGGAAUUCUCGGUGUAGCGGUGAAAUGCGUAGAUAUCGAGAGGAACACCUGCGGCGAAGGCGGGUUGCUGGGCUGACACUGACGCUGAGGCGCGAAAGCUAGGGGAGCGAACGGGAUUAGAUACCCCGGUAGUCCUAGCCUUAAACGAUGAAUGCUUGGUGUCUGGGGUUAUAUAGUCCCCGGGGUGCCGUCGCUAACGCUUUAAGC